RNAcentral lists this non-coding RNA (30 nucleotides) under Mus musculus (house mouse). The record is from RNAcentral. Lineage: Eukaryota; Metazoa; Chordata; Mammalia; Rodentia; Muridae.
UGGGUCUUGGCUUCUGGUGUUUAUUACUGU